CCUACGGGAGGCAGCAGUGGGGGCUAUUGCACAAUGGGGGAAACCCUGAUGCAGCGACGCCGCGUGGGCGAAGAAGUAUUUCGGUAUGUAAAGCCCUAUCAGCAGGGAAGAAGCAAUGACGGUACCUGCGUAAGAAGCACCGGCUACAUACGUUCCAGCAGCCGCGGUAAUACGUAUGGUGCAAGCGUUAUCCGGAUGUACUGGGGGUAAAGGUAGCGCAGGCGGCACGGCAAGCCUGAUGGGAAAGCCCGAGGCUGAACCGCGGGACUGCAUUGGGAACGACCGGGUUAGAGUGCCGGAGAGGUAGGCGGAAGUCCUAGUGUAGCGGUGAAAUGCGUAGAUAUUAGCAGGAACACCAGUGGCGAAGGCGGCCUACUGGACGGUGACUGACGCUGAGGCUCGAAAGCGUGGGGAGCAAACAGGAUUAGAUACCCCUGUAGUC
This 442-nucleotide ribosomal RNA is filed under the name uncultured bacterium. RNAcentral describes it as "partial 16S ribosomal RNA". It matches the Rfam family "Bacterial small subunit ribosomal RNA", at positions 338 to 795 of the family's 1533-position model. The record is from RNAcentral.